RNAcentral lists this transfer RNA (87 nucleotides) under Actinomycetes bacterium. RNAcentral's name for it is "tRNA-Leu". It matches the Rfam family "tRNA". From Rfam's summary of the family: Transfer RNA (tRNA) molecules are approximately 80 nucleotides in length. Their secondary structure includes four short double-helical elements and three loops (D, anti-codon, and T loops). The record is from RNAcentral. Lineage: Bacteria; Bacillati; Actinomycetota; Actinomycetes.
GGCGGCGUAUCCGAAUUGGCACAGGAGGGGGCCUUAAAAGCCUCUGGCCGAAAGGCUAUGUGGGUUCGACUCCCACCGCCGCUACCA